RNAcentral lists this transfer RNA (88 nucleotides) under Eubacteriales bacterium. RNAcentral describes it as "tRNA-Leu". It matches the Rfam family "tRNA". From Rfam's summary of the family: Transfer RNA (tRNA) molecules are approximately 80 nucleotides in length. Lineage: Bacteria; Bacillati; Bacillota; Clostridia; Eubacteriales. The record is from RNAcentral.
GCUCGCGUGGCGGAACUGGCAGACGCAACGGACUUAAAAUCCGUCGAACUAAUACUUCGUGCCGGUUCGAUCCCGGCCGCGAGCACCA